This is a long non-coding RNA of Danaus plexippus (monarch butterfly), 327 nucleotides long. RefSeq lists it as uncharacterized. Lineage: Eukaryota; Metazoa; Arthropoda; Insecta; Lepidoptera; Nymphalidae. The record is from RefSeq and is a predicted model, not a curated record. The transcript has 2 exons.
UCCAAGUUAUCAGUAUAUAAUAUUUAUAACUUGUAAAACCUAAAAUUUUUAUACUUAAAUUUUAAAAUAAUGCAUUUUUUUUUAAAUUUAAAGCAUCAACAUAAUUAUUUCUUUAGAAAUUAAACCAUAAGUAGAAAGAACACACGAAUCACAUUCAGUUUCUCGAUAUGUCAGAACAUUAAGGUUCUUUAGCAAGAGUUUUUGGGCAUUGCAUUUCAGACCAGCUUAUAGGCACCAUACUUAUUCCUUGAGGUGAACCCUCGGCAGUUGCAAUCACCACUCCAAGUUCAUUUUCCGCAGUAGACAGAUGAUACCAAUGUAUUUCAG